AGCUAUCAAUGCUCGGUAAGGUGUAACGAUAGCGCAGAAUAAGUCCAAUUUUGAACGAGCCAACGCCCAGGCAAGAUGGUCGGUAUAGUUUUUAGUGAAAAUAAUUUAUAGUGAAACGUUAUAAAGGAGAUAUUUCUGUGAACAAGGUUCAGGAUUAUAUCGGAAAAUCUCUGAAAAGGAGAUUUUUCAUGAUUUUCGCGAUUGAAAGGGCGCAAAAAACGUGAAAAUGAGGUUCAAAAUUCUCUACGUGACCCUCAUUGUGGUCAUGAUACAAAUCUGUCGGAUUGUAUCGGAUCAAAAUCUAACAAGUGACUCAAGUACACCAAAAAAUGUGAAACUCGACACAAUUCAAAGUGAUCCUGUGAAAGUUAGUAGUGCAAGUGUAAAGAAAGAGAAACCACUUCUUCAGGAUGAAAUCGAUGAUAUUGAAAUUAUUGAAGAGGAUGUGACGAAAAGACAACCGGAACCGAUAGUACCCGCGACAAGUGCGAAAUCGGCAGUUACCUCACCUAAGGAACCGUUUUUCUCGCCGAUAAAGACGAACUUGAAGGUUGAAACAGCACAAACUACCAAUGUCGUGAAGUCUUCCACGGAGAAAAUUCAAAUUCAACCGAGGAUUGGUUCAGGGAAAUCGGGAAAGUUGCAGCAACCAUUUGCACAACAAACUUAUUUUGGUGAUGGUGGAUUCAGCUAUGGGGAUAGUACGGACAAUUACGAUUGGGAUCCGGAAAAUCGUGUUGCACCUCCCGAUCAAGCUACUCACCAAGGUGACAACUAUGCAAUCACUACACAGCGUCUCCAAGAUAUCCGAAAACAUUUCUUCUAUUGGUUCUUCGAUAAAGACUCAAAAGGCGGACGUGGUGACUAUCAAAAGGAUAUUCAUGCUUCAAUGCCACAAAUCCAUAAAAAUUUCAAUUUCCAAUUACCUUUUUAUGGAUUCAGAUUCAAUUACACAAGGGUUUCUAUGAAUGGUUAUUUGGAAUUUUCGGAUCCACCAGAACACUUUACUUAUCCUCUAGUAUUCCCGGUUAAGGAUUGGCCACGACGUAAUGAUCCCUCGUUCAUUGGGAUUUUCUUCUCAAAAUGUCGUAUCGGAAGGAUAUAUGCUACCGAUUACGAUCAAAGGGAGCCAGGUGUCUAUUUCAGAAUGGAGCGUGAUUUGAUGACACGAACAGAUCGUUUUGGUGUUGAAGUUCGGGAACGUACUAUGUGGGAUAUCCGUGAAGGUGUAGUUGGUGCUGAUACAUUUAUUCCAAAACACGUCGCCAUUAUUACAUGGAAAAAUAUGUCCUUUGCUGGUGGUAUCGAUAAUUCACUCUUUAAGACAAACUCAUUCCAAAUGGUCCUGGCUACCGAUGAAGUUUUCACAUACGCAAUAUUCAACUAUGCCGUGAUUAAUUGGUCGGCACAUACUGAAGCGGGUGGUGAUACAACAGGAGGAGAAGGUGGUGUUCCAGCAUUUAUUGGCUUCAAUGCUGGCAAUGGAACACAAGCAUACGAAUACAAACCAUACAGUCAGGCAUCAGUACUUCGUGAUUUAACGGGACGUGGGUGGGCAAACGGUUUCCCAGGUCGACAUAUAUUCCGUAUCGAUGAGAAGAUAAUGUUGGGAACGUGCAAUAAGGAUAUUGAUGCGGCACAUCUACCACUGGUCUUUGCUCCGGAGUAUGGUAACAUGUUGGGUGGAACUGUGGUGAACAUCAGUGGUCCAUGUUUUGAUCCAAAUGAACGUGUUCUAUGCCAUUUCGAUACUGAAGAUGUUGUAGCGCAUGUUAUUGACAGAAAUAGGGCAAUGUGUGUUCAGCCAUUCUUGAAGGCUCAAGGAUAUAUUAGAUUUGAAAUAUCAGUAGGAAAUGAACGGUUCAAGUGGCGUGGAAAAUACUUUGUUGAAACUCCGGCUACUGCAACCGAUAGAAUUUUCUUUGAAACUGAUGCAGUCUACAAGAAAGCACCAGCUGAAAUAAAAAUAUCGUGGAAUAAAUAUAAUUUGACGGCAAAUUUGAAUGCGGGGGUUCGAAUAUCGUUAUGGGGUUAUAGAGAAAGUACUAUACGACCGCAACUGGAGUACAUAGACAUGAUAGAUGCAUCAAUAACAAAUACAGGAAGCUACAUUAUAGCACCGGCUAACUAUCGGAACCGUUGGAACCCUAACAACAAUGAUAUGCAGUUUGGUUUUAUACACAUAAAUCUCACGAAUCCGACAGACUACUCUGGUUUAGACAUCAGCCCAGUUCUUUGGUCAAAACCCAUACCACUCGCGUGGUACUUCGGACCACAAUGGGAGCGAAUUCAUGGUAGAGAAUGGCCACGCGCGCUAUGUGACAAUUGGCUUAGAACGGAUCGUUUCUUAAGGAAUUUUGCCGCGGAUUUGCCCCUCUGUCCGUGUACUUUACAACAUGCUACAUACGACAAAGGACGUUAUUAUCCCGAUCCGGAUUGCGACAAGGACUCAAAUCCAACUUGCUUGCAUCAUAAAGGAGCAAUACACUGUGUGAGAACAGGACAACCUACUGAACAAGGCGCACAACAGCAAUGCUGUUACGAUCGUUAUGGAUUCCUCAUGAUGUCCUACGAUCAAAUGUGGGGUUCCCGUCCACGACGUAAUCACGAUAUCGGUCUCAUGCCUUGGAAUGAAGCCGGAAAAGUGCCAACACUCUCUACAUGGUUCCACGAUGUACGUCCUUACUACUCCUGUUGCUAUUGGCAAGACGAACAGGCAGUUGGAUGUGAAACAUAUCGAUUCGAACGACGACCUUCACAGGAUUGUGUAGCCUAUCAGGCGCCAGGUGUUGGUGGAACAUUCGGUGACCCUCAUUUUGUUACAUUCGAUAAUCUCCAGUAUACCUUCAACGGAAUGGGAGAAUUCGUACUGGCUAAAGGCAAUGAUAACAAGGAAAAAUUCGAAGUACAGGGUCGGUUCGAACAGGUUCACCGGAAUGUGCAUGGACCUGUUAAGGCCACUCAGUUGACAUCGAUUGCUACACGAGGAAACACCACAACCGUGAUUGAGAUUCGUCUUAGGCCACCACAUGCACAGUGGCGUUAUCAUUUAGAUGUGUUUGCUGACGGAAAGAGGAUUUACUUUGAUCGUCCUAGUUUGAGAUAUCAACAUUUCCACGGAGUCACUGUUUACAUGCCACCAUAUAUUUUAAAUCAAUCAGAAAUUGUUGUUAUGUACUCUUCGGGUGUUGGCGUAGAAGUUGUUGAGAAUGCUGGAUUCAUGACUGCUCGAGUUUAUACCCCAUGGUCUUAUAUUAAUAAAACACGAGGGUUACUGGGCAAUUGGAGUUUCGAUCCCUCUGACGAUUUAACAUUGCCGGAUGGAAGGGUUGUAAGCGUUAAUCUAAAUAAUUUCGAGGCUAUACAUAGAGAUUUCGGAUUGAAAUGGAUGUUGGCGGAUCGUGAGAUACCGGGCGUAGGUGCAGCAUUAUUUACUCGAGAAUUCGGACGAACUGCUAGUUAUUUCUCGAACGAGUCGUUUAUUCCGGUUUACCAAAGAGAACCGAAAGACUUCCUUCCUGCAAAUCGAUCGUAUGAUAUUGAAAGAGCGUCAGAAUUAUGUGGGGAGAGCUAUCAAUGUCGAUAUGAUUAUGGAAUGUCAUUGAAUCGUGAUAUGGCUCACUUUACGAAGAACUAUUUCGAUAGUAUUGUGAAUAUAAGGACUACAAAUGAGAAACGCGUAAUAUCGUGUGGUGUUCUGGAAACUCCUCGUUUCGGACGAAAACUCAGUUUCGACUUUACACCUGGUGCACGUGUGAACUUCGAAUGCAAUGAAGGUUUCGUACUUAUGGGAGAUCAACGACGCGUUUGUACGCCUCAAGGCAGAUGGGAUGUACCGGUUUCCGGAUAUACACUUUGCUUACGUGAAGUUUACUACACGCAACGUAUGGCAUGGAUUGCAAUUGGUAUUAUCUUUGCUGUCAUAGCUCCAAUCAUGCUUUGCAUUGUUUGUGGUGUCUAUUGCUAUCGUAAGAAAGCCCUCAAAGAAGAUCCUAAUUUCAAAAUGACAUUGCCACGAUCACGUAAUGGUUCACGAGCUAACCUGCGCACCCUGAACAGCGAUACAACCGAUUCGGAUGGUGGAACCUUGAAGAAAAGUAGGUCUUACGAAAAAGUUUAUCGUACACACGAACCGCUUGAAGGGAAACCCGUGAUUGACUUUCCAGAGAAGAAAUGGGACUUGGACGAGGACGAGGAUGAGGACGUGACAUCGUCCGAAGGUAGCGAGUUUAAAGAUUCCAAAGUCGCAAAGGACAUUCAGUAUAUUAAUACUUCAGGUGAUAAACCCAAACAAUUGGGACGCCGUUCGUUGCGUCUGUCAACUGGCCCUGAUGCAAUUGCGGAAGAGCGUGACCACGACGACGAUUAUCCACCAUCUCCUAGGAACAAUGUUUCGCCCACACAUGAAUAUAGUCCAACGUUUAGCGGGGCUGAACAUAGUAGUGGUAAUGGACAGGCUGGUAGUCCUGUUACCCGUUUACCUAGUGGAGCGAUAAGAGUGUUGCCCACGGGAAGUAACACAUUCUCAUCGGGAUCAUCAUCACCGCCGAUCACACAAGAUGUUGGAUUGCCACGCCCACAAAACACCCGAUCAACAGAAGUUUAAUAACAGACUUUUUUUUUAGAAAAGACAAAAAGAAAUUUAUUUGUUUAAAUUUAUCAUUAGAUGUAAGAGAAUUCAGUACGGCAAAGCAAAGCUUGGCGGUAUCUAUAGAUUGUAUAUUUUUUCUACUUUAGUUAUUGUGUUCUCUACUGGUAAUUCUGUUGCAAUACAUACAUAUUUUCAUAUCAUGCAAUAUUUUUACCCAACAUACACUUAUAAAUAAUUUCAUUUUGAAGUAAUCAUGCAUUUGCCAUGACUCAAACCCUCUUUUUUCGUUGUUUUUUUUUUCGUAGAGCCAACUUCGAAUUUAAAACACUAACACUUUCAGAUUUAGUACAAAGUUUUCAGUCAUUUCAAACAUAUCUGCAGUAUUUGAUUGAUUUAAUUUUGACGACAGAAGCAAUUUGAUUGUCAAUAGAUAUUUUUAAGGAUAACUGGAAAAUUGAUGUCGAAAAAUGUUGAAAAUUAUAUCUGUAAACUCUAGUUAAAGGAGCCGAAGAACACACGUCGCGUACAGCAGGAAUUGCAUUUGGUUUAGUGUUCGCCAUUAUGGUCCCGGUACUUUUGGCUGUUGUUUGUUUCUUCUUCUUCUGGAUUAAAUAUC
This 5207-nucleotide unclassified non-coding RNA is filed under the name Hermetia illucens (black soldier fly). RNAcentral's name for it is "protein mesh, transcript variant X6". Lineage: Eukaryota; Metazoa; Arthropoda; Insecta; Diptera; Stratiomyidae. The record is from RNAcentral.